Molecule: non-coding RNA, 136 nt
Organism: Pelobates cultripes (western spadefoot toad)
Lineage: Eukaryota; Metazoa; Chordata; Amphibia; Anura; Pelobatidae
Source: the annotation of a GenBank genome assembly
CGAACUCCGGUCAGCUGACACAUCCCUGCCAAUCUCCGGCAGACCCUCCCUCCCAGAUCCUCCCACCUCCUGGACAGCAUCCAUGUUGAAGUAGGAGGGUCUGCCGGAGAUUGGCAGGGAUGUGUCAGCUGACCGG